This 2326-nucleotide long non-coding RNA is filed under the name Limulus polyphemus (Atlantic horseshoe crab). Its description in RNAcentral is "uncharacterized LOC111086935, transcript variant X2". Lineage: Eukaryota; Metazoa; Arthropoda; Merostomata; Xiphosura; Limulidae. The record is from RNAcentral.
AAUAGUUCAGCUGUAACACAUUUUCUAAUCAAUAAAUAUAUUCCAGAAAUUGUGUUCUGUAAAACUACAUUGCAGGAUCAGAUAAUAUAGAAGAACAGCUUGACUGAAAGUUUUAAGUUCCUUCAGGGCUAAUGUGAGGUGGAAGUUGAUGUUGUGGACAAUUUUAGAGAUGCUGCUUCCUAUACAGUAUCAAAAAUAAUCAUGGAAAUGCAAAGUGUGGUCUGUGAACAAAAUCUUGACUAAAAGAAACCCAAAUCUUUCUUGGUAAGAAGUGAACAUUUCAACAUAUUUCUACAAGAGUUGCAUUCAUUUCCUUGCCAUUAUUGUUCAAAAAUAUUUAAGGAGAUAUGUAUACUGAAGCAACACCUAAGUGUCCAUAAUCCAGAUAAAUUUUCUUGGACUUGGCAUUCCGUUGGAGAUCUCGGCAAAUAUGAAACAUGAAGAAUUACCAUUGAAAAGUCUGUUUAUUUGUGACCAUCAUGCAAUAAUUACGUCACCUUUUUUAAUCCUAGUAACAAUGUCAAAUAAGGAAUGGGAAAGGGGUUACUACUUGUUGUACGUACGACUCUUAAGUAUAUGUUACACUAAAGUAUAUAAAGUACAAUGUAUUGAUGUGUUAAUACUGUAUAUGGAAAACUUAAUGUUUUGAUGUAGGUGUGUACGACUCUUAAGUAUAUGUUACACUAAAGUAUAUAAAGUACAAUGUAUUGAUGUGUUAAUACUGUAUAUGGAAAACUUAAUGUUUUGAUGUAUGGCUUGCGUACAACUCACUCUUUUGGUGGCUAAGAACUACUUAGAAAACUAUAUGUUUGUUUGGAUGAGAAACUAUAUAUAUCGUGUAGUUGUUUUUGCUCUAUGAAUUUUUUAUAUUUCGAGGAACAAAGGUAAAAUGGUAUGUUUUCUGGGAUAGUUUUUCAACUAUGUGGAAUUAACAUAUAAAACAACAUUGUAACAGAUGUGGAGAGUAAUAUAGUCAGGUUUAUAAUUAUGUGGAAUUAACAUCUAAAACAACAUUGUAACAGAUCUGGAGAGUCUAGUCAUGUUUUAUUAUUAUUAUUAACAAUGACUUCUGAUCAAAGCAAGCUACCCACAUAGAUUAUAAUUAAAUAAUAUGAAUCUGGUAAUUAAUAUAGAUAAAUCAAUACAUCAUUGUUACUCAGAACACAUUAAUUUAUCAGUUGAGUACACGUGUUAUAAACGGUAUUUCUGACCAUAAUCCCAAUACUAUUUCACAGUGCAACGGUAUUUCUGACCAUAAUCCCAAUACUAUUUCACAGUGCAACGGUAUUUCUGACCAUAAUCCCAAUACUAUUUCACAGUGCAACGGUAUUUCUGACCAUAAUCCCAAUACUAUUUCACAGUGCAACGGUAUUUCUGACCAUAAUCCCAAUACUAUUUCACAGUGCAAAGUAAUCCUCAUGAUGUAAAAUAUGUAAAACAAAAAUUAAAAAUAAUGAAAGUAAAUAAGUACAUAUUAACCCUUUCACUCCAAUGUUUCUAGAUAAGCAGCUCUUCUGGUGUCAAUUUUAUUUUAGAUACACCAUAAAAUCCAAAAGACCCAGCAUAUUUUACUAUUUCAUUACUAAUGUAAAACUGGCAAAAGUUUUCAGGGUAAUACCUGUGAGUGCUCUGAUUUCCAGUCACUUGAAAAAAAAUGUCCACAAAACUUUAUAUAAUAAUCGCCCAAGACAAUGUCAAGUUACCUUUGAAAGCUCACCAAAUAGUGUAACUUUAGGGUAGCCUGACAUCUGAAAUAUAUUACUAUGACGCACGUUAAUGUUUAGAUAGAGCAUUGGGUAGCAGGACAGUACUGGUGGUACAGCAAAAAACUAAUGUUUAUGUAGAUAAAAAAAAUGAUAUUAUAAUAUAUUAAAGGUGACUUUGAUUUUCAUUCCAUUCUUAUGUCUUGAUCAAUAACAAUACAAUAUGGCAUUCUGAAGUAAGGUUUUAAUGAAAGUGAUUAAUAUCAAGUAAACAGAAUUUGUCAUUAUUAUUUAGUUGUAGCCCUCUUUACGUUUCUGAAUUUGUUUUAUUAGUUUUUGAGCUAAAGUUUGUACUAUAUAAGGAUUUUAACCUUUACAGACAUAGGUGCUUAUAUGAAAUUAUUAUAUAUAUAGAAAUACUUCUUCUAUUCUUGAUAGUCUAUGUAUAUAAGAAUGUCUUUAAUCUUUGUGUAUGAAGAUAGGUGUAUCAGUGUGAAAUGCUACUCUCUGAGGAUAAGGUGUAUUAGUGUGAAAUGCUACUCCCUGAGGAUAAGGUGUAUUAGUGUGAAAUGCUACUCUCUGAGGAUAAGGUGUAUGAGUGUGAAAUACUACAAUUUAUACUU